This 330-nucleotide long non-coding RNA is filed under the name Lathyrus oleraceus (garden pea). Its description in RNAcentral is "Pisum sativum (pea) long non-coding RNA (PSAT_LNC031119)". Lineage: Eukaryota; Viridiplantae; Streptophyta; Magnoliopsida; Fabales; Fabaceae. The record is from RNAcentral.
UAAUUAAAAUAUACUACUUCACAUAUAUAUGCUUCAAAUAUGUUUUACAUAAAGUUUGACACCGUUAAGACUAGUGGCCUUGCCACAUAGAUAAAACUUAAAAUAAAAGUACAUGAAGAAAAUCAAAAGAAAGCUUAACAGAAGGACCUCCUAAGUCCAACAGGACUGACACUUAUACUGACUGUAUAUAAUAUUACGUACUAGUAACGAUGUGAUAAGCGUUUGACAAAACGCUAGCAACCUUCAGCCUUGACAUUAUCGUAAUCUGUCACUCCAUAGCCUUCCCUCCUAAAUGGUCUAGCUCGUCGCCUGAUCGUCAUAGAUCAAUCC